AUACGAAAGGUGCAAGCGUUGUUCGGAUUUACUGUGCGUAAAGAGAGUGUAGGUUGUUUAUUAAGUCGGAUGUGAAAUCCCGGGGCUCAACCUCGGAACUGCAUUCGAUACUGGUAGACUAGAGUUCGGGAGGGGUAAGCGGAAUUCCGUGUGUAGCAGUGAAAUGCGUAGAUAUACGGAGGAACACCUGAGGCGAAGGCGGCUUACUGGACCGAUACUGACACUGAGACUCGAAAGCGUGGGUAGCAAACAGGAUUAGAAACCCUAGUAGUCC
RNAcentral lists this ribosomal RNA (274 nucleotides) under uncultured bacterium. Its description in RNAcentral is "partial 16S ribosomal RNA". It matches the Rfam family "Bacterial small subunit ribosomal RNA", at positions 523 to 796 of the family's 1533-position model. The record is from RNAcentral.